AGUUCAGAUUGCAGGCUGNAACCCGCCUGCAUGAAGUCGGAAUUGCUAGUAAUCGCGGAUCAGCAUGCCGCGGUGAAUACGUUCCCGGGCCUUGUACACACCGCCCGUCACACCAUGGGAGCCGGUAAUACCCGAAGCCAGUAGUCCAACCUCGUGAGGACGCUGCCGAAGGUAGGAUUGGCGACUGGGGUGAAGUCGUAACAAGGUACC
Molecule: ribosomal RNA, 210 nt
Filed under: uncultured bacterium
Lineage: Bacteria
Description: partial 16S ribosomal RNA
Rfam family: Bacterial small subunit ribosomal RNA
Source: RNAcentral